AUACGUAGGGUGCAAGCGUUAAUCGGAAUUACUGGGCGUAAAGCGUGCGCAGGCGGUUUUGUAAGACAGUGGUGAAAUCCCCGGGCUCAACCUGGGAACUGCCAUUGUGACUGCAAGGCUGGAGUGCGGCAGAGGGGGAUGGAAUUCCGCGUGUAGCAGUGAAAUGCGUAGAUAUGCGGAGGAACACCGAUGGCGAAGGCAAUCCCCUGGGCCUGCACUGACGCUCAUGCACGAAAGCGUGGGGAGCAAACAGGAUUAGAUACCCUGGUAGUCCACGCCCUAAACGAUGUCAACUGGUUGUUGGGGAUUUAGUUUCUCAGUAACGAAGCUAACGCGUGAAGUUGACCGCCUGGGGAGUACGGCCGCAAGGUUAAAACUCAAAUGAAUUGACGGGG
This 395-nucleotide ribosomal RNA is filed under the name uncultured bacterium. Its description in RNAcentral is "partial 16S ribosomal RNA". It matches the Rfam family "Bacterial small subunit ribosomal RNA", at positions 523 to 918 of the family's 1533-position model. The record is from RNAcentral.